RNAcentral lists this ribosomal RNA (374 nucleotides) under uncultured bacterium. RNAcentral's name for it is "partial 16S ribosomal RNA". It matches the Rfam family "Bacterial small subunit ribosomal RNA", at positions 338 to 729 of the family's 1533-position model. The record is from RNAcentral.
CCUACGGGAGGCAGCAGUGGGGAAUAUUGCUCAAUGGAGGAAACUCUGAAGCAGCGAUGCCGCGUGAGUGAAGAAGUCUUUAGGUAUGGAAAGCUGCAUCAGUAGGAGAGAAAACGACGGUACCUGUUUAUGUAGCCACGUAUCAUUACAUGCCAGCAGCCGCGGCAAUACGGAAGGGGCAAGCGUAAUCCGGAUUUACUGGGUGUAAAGGGGGCGUAGGCGGCCGGACAAGUGCGUAGUGAAAUGCCGGGGCUUAACCUCGGAACUGCGUUUGAAACUGUGCAGUUAGAGAGUAGGAGCGGUAGGUGGAAUUCCUGGUGUAGCGGUGAAAUGCUUAGAGAUUAGAAGGAACACCGAUGGCGAAGGCGGCUUAC